AAUAUUCGAGAAGAAGUGACUGAGGAUGGUAAAUACUGUCUAGUGCUGGUAUUUGAGGCAAAAGCUCUGCAGUUAUCAGAUUUCGAAAAAAGACAGGCAAAAUUUACGUCUUUCUUUGGACCUGGAAUAUCAUCUGAAAUUGUAAAGGGAGAGAAUGAUCUGUAUGAAGUACGGCUAAUUUCCAACACAACAUUGUAGAUUGUGAAAAAAUCUUGUUACUCUGGGUAUAUAGAGAAGGUCCACUGUGCCACUUAAUAUAAUGAUAAUUUUUUCAGUCUGCACUGUACAUUGUUGAAUCCAUAGGAAAAUGAUAUAGAAUGAUGGAAAUUAUAAUCCCACAUGGUAGUAACUUGUAU
RNAcentral lists this unclassified non-coding RNA (356 nucleotides) under Hevea brasiliensis (rubber tree). Lineage: Eukaryota; Viridiplantae; Streptophyta; Magnoliopsida; Malpighiales; Euphorbiaceae. The record is from RNAcentral.